Crotalus tigris (Tiger rattlesnake) is the source of this 4638-nucleotide RNA transcript. It is a transcript of the gene named SLIT and NTRK like family member 4, with no coding region annotated. The transcript has 7 exons. Lineage: Eukaryota; Metazoa; Chordata; Lepidosauria; Squamata; Viperidae. The record is from RefSeq and is a predicted model, not a curated record.
GGAGAGACUCUUCCUUCUUUAGAAGGGAAAGGAGAGAGGAUCUGACCAGUGGAACCUUGGGGGGAAAGGAAAAGGAAAUAAAAGAGGAGAGAGAGUAAGCUGUCCAGGCAUUGAUCUUCCUGUUUGGGGGAUGCUGCAACGGGAGUUAAUUUUUGGAGGCUGGUGGAGGGAGGAGGGAGGAGGGAGGAGGGAGGUUUCUGUUUGCCUUCUCCGCCUCUCACUCUCCCCUUAAUUCCACUGUUUCCCCCUUUCUUCCCCUGCCAGGGAGAUGCCACCAUGCAAGGAUCCAGAAGACUCACAAUCGGAAAAUAUGAUCCCUGGGGAAAGAUCGGGAUUAGUCACCUAGACUAUCCAUCUUUGUUCUGGAACAGUAGGCUUGAUCAGUGACCUGAGAAAGAUGCUCCUCUGGCUUUUUCUGGUGUUGUCCAGCCCAGCUUCCUCUACAGAUCCAGAAACGGAUGCCUUGGUGGAAAUCUGCAAUGUCUGCUCCUGUGUGUCGGUAGAGAAUGUCCUUUAUGUCAACUGUGAAAAGGUGGCUGUUUACAGACCCAACCAGCUGAAGCCCCCUUGGUCUAAUUUCUAUCACCUCAACUUUCAGAAUAACCUGCUGAUUAUCCUGUAUCCAAACACGUUCCUUAAUUUUAGCCAUGCGGUGUCUCUGCAGCUGGGAAAUAAUAAGCUACAGAACAUUGAAGGAGGAGCGUUUAUGGGUCUCGGCGCGUUAAAACAGUUGCACUUGAACAACAAUGAAUUAAAAGUCCUCCGAGCUGACACUUUCCUUGGCAUUGAGAACUUGGAGUAUCUCCAAGCGGACUACAAUUUAAUCAAAUAUAUCGAGCGGGGAGCCUUCAAUAAACUCCACAAGCUCAAAGUCCUCAUUCUUAAUGACAACCUGAUUUCUCUCCUACCUGAUAAUAUUUUCCGGUUUGUGUCUCUGACCCACUUGGAUAUCAGGGGGAAUCGCAUCCAGAAACUGCCCUACAUCGGCGUUCUGGAGCACAUCGGGCGCAUUGUGGAAUUGCAACUGGAGGACAACCCGUGGAAUUGCACCUGUGACCUUCUGCCUUUGAAGGCCUGGCUGGAGAACAUGCCCUACAACAUCUACAUCGGAGAAGCCAUUUGUGAGACCCCCAGCGAUCUCUAUGGGAGACUUUUGAAAGAGACCAACAAACAAGAACUCUGCUCCAUGGGGACGGGGAGUGAUUUUGAUGUCCGCAUCCUGCCCCCCUCCCAGCUGGAGCCCAGCUUCAGUACCCCCAAUGGUCACACCACACAAACUACGAUGCACCGGUUGGUCACCAGGCCUCCCAAAACGACCAACCCAUCUAAAAUCUCGGGCAUUGUGGCUGGGAAGCCCUUCUCCAGUCGCAAUCUGAGUCAAAUUGUGUCGUUUCAGACCAGGAUGCCCCCUCUGACCCCUUGUCCACACCCCUGCAUUUGUAAAACCUACCCUUCAGACUUGGGAUUAAGCAUCAAUUGCCAAGAGAAAAACAUCCAUUCCCUGGCCGAGCUGGUCCCUAAGCCUCUGAAUGCCAAGAAAUUGCAUGUUAAUGGCAAUUACAUCAAGAAUGUGGAGGUGUCUGACUUUGUCGACUUUGAAGGGCUGGAUUUACUCCAUCUGGGCAGCAAUCAGAUUGUGGCCAUCAAAGGGGAAGUUUUCCACAACCUGAGCAAUUUACGGAGAUUGUAUCUGAACGGCAAUCAGAUUGAGCGGUUGAGUCCCGAAAUGUUUGCCGGGCUGCAUAAUCUUCAGUACCUCUACUUGGAAUACAAUGUCAUCAAAGAGAUUUUAGCAGGCACGUUUGACCUGAUGCCCAACCUGCAGCUCCUCUACUUAAACAACAACUUGCUGCGAAGUUUGCCGGCUUACAUUUUCUCCCGGGCUCCACUCGCUCGGCUGAAUCUGCGCAACAACCAUUUCAUGUACUUGCCGGUGAGUGGUGUGCUAGACCACCUGAAAACCCUGACCCAAAUCGAUCUGGAAGGGAACCCAUGGGAUUGCACCUGCGACUUGGUGGCCCUGAAGCUGUGGCUGGAAAAACUGAAUGAGGGCAUUGUGGUGAAGGAGUUAAAGUGUGAGACCCCCGUGCAGUUUGCCAAGAUUGAACUGAAGUCUCUCAAAAAUGAGAUCCUGUGUCCCAAACUCCUCAAGUCAUCUUUCUUCACCAGCCCGGCGCCUGUGCUGACUUUUACAACCCCUUUGGGCCCUGUCCGCAGUCCUCCUGGGGGUCCAGUCCCCCUGUCCAUUCUCAUCUUGAGCAUCUUGGUGGUCCUCAUUCUGACAGUCUUCGUGGCCUUCUGCCUCCUGGUCUUCGUUCUCCGUCGCAACAAGAAGCCUUCUUCCAAACACGAAGGGCUGGGCAACCCGGAAUGCAGUUCGAUGCAGCUCCAGUUACGGAAGCACGAUCACGCUGGCCAGAAAAAGGACACCUUGGGGGCCGAAGCCUUCAUCCCCCAAACCAUUGAGCACAUGAGCAAAAGACAUUCGUGUGGCUUAAAAGAGGCCGAGACGGGUUUCAUGUUUGCUGAGCCGGUGAGCCAGAAAGUCAUCUUGAGGAACAACAGCGAGAAAGAGAAAGAUCUGCUGCAAACGGAUAUCCGAAAAAGACUGAGUACCAUUGACGAACUGGAUGAAUUAUUACCAGGGCGGGAUUCCAAUAUCUUUAUUCAGAAUUUUCUGGAAAACAAAAAGGAGUACAACAGUAUAGGGAUCAGCGGCUUCGAGAUACGCUAUCCGGAGAAACAGCCGGACCGAAAAAACAAAUCCUUAAUAGGAGGAAAUCACAGUAAAAUUGUGGUGGAGCAAAGGAAAAGUGAAUAUUUUGAACUAAAAGCUAAACUUCAGGGCUCCCCAGAUUACCUGCAAGUCCUCGAAGAGCAAACGGCUUUGAAUAAAAUCUAGGCCAUGCAAUCUGAUUUCCUACAGAGGACUUUUAUUUAAUGAUGCAAGUGCCUUUUGUUGACUUUUCAUUUCCAAAUAUGAUACUCUCCCGAUAGGCAUAGAGGCAGGCAAUCCAGGGGUGUGUGAUAAAAUUAUAGCUCCAAAUAGAUUUUAUUUCUUAAAAACUCUGCCCCAUGAGGAAACGGUAGGGAAAACUGCAAAGACUCUAUUGCCAAGGUGUUGCUUUAUACACAUAUUACACUGAAUUUAACCUCAAGAGGAAUAUAUAUUUUCUACCCUAACUGCAAAACUUUCAUGUCCUUGUGAUUUGUUUAAACAAAUGCACAAGAAGAGAGAGAGAGAAAAUGGGAAACAGAAGAAGCUGUUUAAUGACAGAAAGAGAGAGAAAAUGGGAAACAGAAGAAGCUGGUCCCUAUGCUGGUGAAUUUCACGUGGAUUAAAAUUGCUAAAGGAACUGAAAUCAGUUUCAACCCUAUACAAAGUGAUGGAUCAGCAGCCCUGUUUUAGCGAUUACCAGAGAUUUUACAAACCACAAAAGCAUGCAAAUGAAAGAACCUUCGAUAGUUAUGUGUAAAAUUGGUUACCUUUACAGUCUGCAUCUUGAAAACACUGGAUUUAUAAUGUUAAAAAUUGUGCAGAAAUCUUUUUUUAAAAAAUUAUCGUUCAUUGCAUCCACACAAAAGCAAUUUUGACCAUCUAAUACACGCCAGAAAUCUGCAUAAAAUUGAUUCAGAUGAAACCCAAGUGGCAACAAGGACUGGAAGAAAAAUACUUGAUGUUUAAGACAAACCAACCCCCACCCUCGUGAAACUCCUGUCAACCCCCCAAGGAGUAAUUUAAAAGUCCAUGUGUGUGCUCCUCUGGGGAUGCAGGAACAUGCCUUGCAGUCUUUCCUGAAGGACUUGAUGGAGUUGGAUCCAGGAUGGUAGAGAUGGCAAAGAGGAAGUUGCUGUCUGGGAGAUGUUCUCCCAGGAAUUCACCUAAUCUCCUAGAACUCAAAACCAGCAACAGGUAUUGCUAUGAAGUCUUGCUCAAAUGCACUAACAUUUGCUGUUCUCCCCCAUCUCAUCUCCCUCCUAAAAAAAGAAUUGGAGAAAGCAAACUUAAUUGAAGAGGGGAAGUAAGGAUCUAACCAGCACACUGUGUAUAAAAUCAAUUCCAACCAGUAAUGAGGAAAUAUGGACACCCAGGAGGUCUUUGCAGUGAUGGGAAGAUACUCCAUUGAAACCAAGACCACCAUCAGCAACUAUUUCCAUCUCUUUAUCAAAUCCAGUUGGCUCAAGACAAAAUGAAUUCUCCAUUAGCUUGAGAUCAAUUCAGACAUCAGAGCCUUCUUCUCCAGAAGAAAAAGGAAAGUCCUUUUUCUCACAACAACGUCACCUUGGCAAAAGUGAGGUCAUCAAAUUCCUCAGCUACCAUCAAUACAUCCCCAUCAUCUUCAAUGAAACAUUGAAAUCCAAUCUCAGAACAGUAGAGAGGGGUUUACUGAAGUUGUUGGUUCAACAAUGAAUUACUCCAGGGAAAGAAGAUAGAGUAAAAUAAACCAGGGAGUUAUUGUCUAAUCUCAACACUUGUUCAGAUUUUUCUUCAUGAAGCAGGCAAGAAUAGAUGGUUCUUUAUAUGAUGUCUAAUCUGAGCUCUUCUGGCACGAAAUGGAUCAGCAACUGCUUGCCAGAUGGUUGCAAAACACCAUCACGUGAGCCCCGGGGAUGCUGCGACCGUCAUAAAUAUGAACC